CCUACGGGUUGCAGCAGUGGGGAAUAUUGCACAAUGGGCGCAAGCCUGAUGCAGCCAUGCCGCGUGUAUGAAGAAGGCCUUCGGGUUGUAAAGUACUUUCAGCGAGGAGGAAGGCGUUAAGGUUAAUAACCUUGGCGAUUGACGUUACUCGCAGAAGAAGCACCGGCUAACUCCGUGCCAGCAGCCGCGGUAAUACGGAGGGUGCAAGCGUUAAUCGGAACUACUGGGCGUAAAGCGCACGCAGGCGGUCUGUCAAGUCGGAUGUGAAAUCCCCGGGCUUAACCUGGGAACUGCAUUCGAAACUGGCAGGCUGGAGUCUUGUAGAGGGGGGUAGAAUUCCAGGUGUAGCGGUGAAAUGCGUAGAGAUCUGGAGGAAUACCGGUGGUGAAGGCGGCCCCCUGGACAAAGACUGACGCUCAGGUGCGAAAGCGUGGGGAGCAAACAGGAUUAGAUACCCGCGUAGUC
Molecule: ribosomal RNA, 465 nt
Filed under: uncultured bacterium
Lineage: Bacteria
Description: bacterial SSU rRNA
Rfam family: Bacterial small subunit ribosomal RNA
Source: RNAcentral